Molecule: ribosomal RNA, 253 nt
Filed under: uncultured bacterium
Lineage: Bacteria
Description: partial 16S ribosomal RNA
Rfam family: Bacterial small subunit ribosomal RNA
Source: RNAcentral
UACGAAGGGGGCUAGCGUUGCUCGGAAUCACUGGGCGUAAAGCGCACGUAGGCGGAUCUUUAAGUCAGGGGUGAAAUCCUGGAGCUCAACUCCAGAACUGCCUUUGAUACUGGGGAUCUCGAGUCCGGGAGAGGUGAGUGGAACUGCGAGUGUAGAGGUGAAAUUCGUAGAUAUCAAGCGGAACACCGGUGGCGAAGGCGGCCUUCUGGACAGAAACUGACGCUGAGACGCGAAAGCGUGGGGAGCAAACAGG